ACGUUCUUAGUUUAAGAGGAAAAAGUAUUAACCUUCGAAGUUAAGGAAUAAUGGUUCGAGUCCAUUAGAACGUA
Neoconidiobolus thromboides FSU 785 is the source of this 74-nucleotide non-coding RNA. NCBI's taxonomy places the organism in Eukaryota, Fungi, Entomophthoromycota, Entomophthoromycetes, Entomophthorales, Neoconidiobolaceae. The record is from the annotation of a GenBank genome assembly.